GGAUGUGAGGGCUAUCUGGCUGCGACAUCUGUCACCCCAUUGAUCGCCAGGGUUGAUUCGGCUGAUCUGGCUGGCUAGGCGGGUGUCCCCUUCCUCCCUCACCGCUCCAUGUGCUUCCCUCCCGAAGCUGCGCGCUCGGUCGAAGAGGACGACCUUCCCCGAUAGAGGAGGACCGUUCUUCGGUCAAGGGUAUACGAGUAGCUGCUCUCCCCUGCUAGAACCUCCAAACAAGCUCUCAAGGUCCAAAAUAGGGCUGGGGAUGUGGCUCAGUGGUUGAGUGCCCCUGAGUUCAAUCCUC
RNAcentral lists this small nuclear RNA (298 nucleotides) under Marmota monax (woodchuck). RNAcentral describes it as "7SK RNA". It matches the Rfam family "7SK RNA". Rfam says of the family: 7SK was discovered as an abundant small nuclear RNA in the mid-70s but a possible function has only recently been suggested. Two independent studies have found that 7SK RNA binds the CDK9/cyclin T complex (known as elongation factor P-TEFb). P-TEFb activates transcription by phosphorylating the C-terminal domain of RNA polymerase II. Lineage: Eukaryota; Metazoa; Chordata; Mammalia; Rodentia; Sciuridae. The record is from Rfam by way of RNAcentral.